UGCAGUCGAGCGGUAGAGAGAAGCUUGCUUCUCUUGAGAGCGGCGGACGGGUGAGUAAUGCCUAGGAAUCUGCCUGGUAGUGGGGGAUAACGUUCGGAAACGGACGCUAAUACCGCAUACGUCCUACGGGAGAAAGCAGGGGACCUUCGGGCCUUGCGCUAUCAGAUGAGCCUAGGUCGGAUUAGCUAGUUGGUGGGGUAAUGGCUCACCAAGGCGACGAUCCGUAACUGGUCUGAGAGGAUGAUCAGUCACACUGGAACUGAGACACGGUCCAGACUCCUACGGGAGGCAGCAGUGGGGAAUAUUGGACAAUGGGCGAAAGCCUGAUCCAGCCAUGCCGCGUGUGUGAAGAAGGUCUUCGGAUUGUAAAGCACUUUAAGUUGGGAGGAAGGGUUGUAGAUUAAUACUCUGCAAUUUUGACGUUACCGACAGAAUAAGCACCGGCUAACUCUGUGCCAGCAGCCGCGGUAAUACAGAGGGUGCAAGCGUUAAUCGGAAUUACUGGGCGUAAAGCGCGCGUAGGUGGUUUGUUAAGUUGGAUGUGAAAUCCCCGGGCUCAACCUGGGAACUGCAUUCAAAACUGACUGACUAGAGUAUGGUAGAGGGUGGUGGAAUUUCCUGUGUAGCGGUGAAAUGCGUAGAUAUAGGAAGGAACACCAGUGGCGAAAGCGACCACCUGGACUAAUACUGACACUG
RNAcentral lists this ribosomal RNA (696 nucleotides) under uncultured bacterium. RNAcentral's name for it is "bacterial SSU rRNA". It matches the Rfam family "Bacterial small subunit ribosomal RNA", at positions 56 to 748 of the family's 1533-position model. The record is from RNAcentral.